CCAGAGUUUCCCAUCUGCACUCUCCACCAGAAAUAUAAAUAAACAAAGGAGUCAUGUAUUUUGCAAAUCCCUUUGAAAAAACAUGGACUUUUGGCUGCUGCUGGGUAAACGUUCAGAUGGUGUCAAUAGCAGCAGAAAGUGACUACCAAUAUUUAUACGCUGUAUAUAGCAGCUUGCGCUGCUGGCAAAGGGAAAGAAAAAGUUUGCUUCCCAAUCCCGGUGACUCUGUAGGAACUUCUAAGGCACCUAGACGAGAGCAGUUAACCGUCACUCCUCACGAGAUGACGGGAGAGGAAGAAAUAUUACAGCCAGUAACAAUAAAGGGACGAUUGUGGGUUGGAAUUGCACUAGGCAGACACUUUUGCUGCUGCUUUGAGAAGUCCCAUGGAAUUCAGACUCCAUAACUUCGAGAGUGUUCCUCACCCCGCCUUACUGUGCCAGCCCCCAAGUAACAUUACUGGGCAGCAUGAAAUGGGUAACUAAGGGGCGAAAACCGUUACUUGAAAAAAAUGACGCUUACAGCCCGUUUUUAGCAGCCCUUGGAGCCUUUGAUCAUCUACCAGCUGCCUCUGGCAGUCUGUGGCUCCGUGAGAAAAUCUAGGCCCAGAGAACCUCGGAUACCAUAAGACAAGGCAUCGCCUCUGUCCAGCUCUUCUCAAGGUGAAACGUUAGCCUGGGCAUUUCUCCUGAAGCAAAAUAAUUCUGCCAGAACCUCAAGCAUUUGGCCCGAAGAUGCUGUUUCACAGUGUGUGGUAAUAAAGCAGACCUUGGCUGCGUCUUUACAGG
Molecule: non-coding RNA, 786 nt
Organism: Rattus norvegicus (Norway rat)
Lineage: Eukaryota; Metazoa; Chordata; Mammalia; Rodentia; Muridae
Source: RefSeq, a predicted model, not a curated record